UUGAACGCUGGCGGCAGGCCUAACACAUGCAAGUCGAACGGUAACAGGAAGCAGCUUGCUGCUUCGCUGACGAGUGGCGGACGGGUGAGUAAUGUCUGGGAAGCUGCCUGAUGGAGGGGGAUAACUACUGGAAACGGUAGCUAAUACCGCAUAAUGUCGCAAGACCAAAGAGGGGGACCUUCGGGCCUCUUGCCAUCGGAUGUGCCCAGAUGGGAUUAGCUUGUUGGUGGGGUAACGGCCCACCAAGGCGACGAUCCCUAGCUGGUCUGAGAGGAUGACCAGCCACACUGGGACUGAGACACGGUCCAGACUCCUACGGGAGGCAGCAGUGGGGAAUAUUGCACAAUGGGCGCAAGCCUGAUGCAGCCAUGCCGCGUGUAUGAAGAAGGCCUUCGGGUUGUAAAGUACUUUCGGCGGGGAGGAAGGGAGUAAAGUUAAUACCUUUGCUCAUUGACGUUACCCGCAGAAGAAGCACCGGCUAACUCCGUG
This 489-nucleotide ribosomal RNA is filed under the name uncultured bacterium. Its description in RNAcentral is "partial 16S ribosomal RNA". It matches the Rfam family "Bacterial small subunit ribosomal RNA", at positions 30 to 507 of the family's 1533-position model. The record is from RNAcentral.